Phytophthora infestans T30-4 is the source of this 71-nucleotide non-coding RNA. The record is from the annotation of a RefSeq genome assembly. Lineage: Eukaryota; Oomycota; Peronosporomycetes; Peronosporales; Peronosporaceae.
GGUUUUUAUCUCAGUGGUCGAGCGCUGGCUUUGGAGGCCACAGGUCGGUGGCUCGAUUCCACCCGGGCGCA